RNAcentral lists this ribosomal RNA (916 nucleotides) under uncultured bacterium. Its description in RNAcentral is "bacterial SSU rRNA". It matches the Rfam family "Bacterial small subunit ribosomal RNA", at positions 54 to 1001 of the family's 1533-position model. The record is from RNAcentral.
CAUGCAAGUCGAACGAUGAACACCGGAGCUUGCUCUGGUGGGAUUAGUGGCGAACGGGUGAGUAACACGUGAGCAAUCUGCCCCCGACUCUGGGAUAACCCCGAGAAAUCGGAGCUAAUACCGGAUACGACACCUCCUGGCAUCAGGUGGGUGUGGAAAGAAUUUCGGUUGGGGAUGAGCUCGCGGCCUAUCAGCUUGUUGGUGAGGUAAUGGCUCACCAAGGCGACGACGGGUAGCCGGCCUGAGAGGGUGACCGGCCACACUGGGACUGAGACACGGCCCAGACUCCUACGGGAGGCAGCAGUGGGGAAUAUUGCACAAUGGGCGCAAGCCUGAUGCAGCAACGCCGCGUGGGGGACGACGGCCUUCGGGUUGUAAACCUCUUUUGGCAGGGAAGAAGCGAAAGUGACGGUACCUGCAGAAAGAGCACCGGCUAACUACGUGCCAGCAGCCGCGGUAAUACGUAGGGUGCAAGCGUUGUCCGGAAUUAUUGGGCGUAAAGAGCUCGUAGGCGGUGUGUCACGUCUGCUGUGAAAAUCCAAGGCUCAACCUUGGACUUGCAGUGGGUACGGGCACACUCGAGUGCGGUAGGGGAGAUUGGAAUUCCUGGUGUAGCGGUGGAAUGCGCAGAUAUCAGGAGGAACACCGAUGGCGAAGGCAGAUCUCUGGGCCGUAACUGACGCUGAGGAGCGAAAGCGUGGGGAGCGAACAGGAUUAGAUACCCUGGUAGUCCACGCCGUAAACGAUGGAUACUAGCUGUUCGAUUUUCGGAUUGAGUGGCUAAGCGAAAGUGAUAAGUAUCCCACCUGGGGAGUACGUUCGCAGAUGAACUCAAGAUUGACGGGGCCGCACAGCGUGAGCAUGUGUUAUCGAUGAACGCGAGGACUACAGGCUAAUGUAGGGGAAGUCUAGAUGC